Molecule: long non-coding RNA, 650 nt
Organism: Mytilus californianus (California mussel)
Lineage: Eukaryota; Metazoa; Mollusca; Bivalvia; Mytilida; Mytilidae
Exons: 5
Source: RefSeq, a predicted model, not a curated record
GGCAGGAGUUACACCAGAUACUAAAUCUGAGGAUUCGGAUGAUGACGAGGACUACACUGACACAGUAGUUAAAGGAAUAAUAGGUGCGGUGAGUGCAGUAGCAGGAGUUGGAUCACUAGUUGUCGCUUUUUUGGCUUACAGGCGCUCCACGAAGCAGGAUGAGCAGAAGAGUAAAAAAUACAGAACUACGAUAAAUGACAGUAGAAGUGAACAAGGCACAAGUCCCAAGAACACGGUAAAAUGAAAAUGGUUCAAAAAAGGUUACAAGUAGUUGUUUGCAGGAUUCUUGCAACCAUGGGACUCAACGAAACCAUGUAUUGGCUGACAAUGAAUAGUCUAUAUUUGUGUAAUUUAAUUCGUUUUAAAGUUUUUAAAACGAUGCAUGUACUAGUAACAAUGCUCGUUUGUUUUAUUUAUGAAACUCAUACUAAAUUCUGAUUUAUUUAUAUCUAACCGAGUAAUAUUUAACAUUUUAAAACAUCACCAAACAGUUAGUUCUGAUAUGCAUAUCGUAUAAUCCAUAUACAUACAUGUAGAAUGCUUGACAAUUUGUUUUGAUUGGUUUUAUCUCAUUCCUCUGGCUAAUUUUUCGGUGAUGAUAAUAAAUCAUCAAAACUAUUUUAACUUUUGUAUGUAUAUGCAUCUAAUUA